This is a long non-coding RNA of Xiphophorus hellerii (green swordtail), 594 nucleotides long. RefSeq lists it as uncharacterized. NCBI's taxonomy places the organism in Eukaryota, Metazoa, Chordata, Actinopteri, Cyprinodontiformes, Poeciliidae. The record is from RefSeq and is a predicted model, not a curated record. The transcript is spliced from 4 exons.
AGCAGCUCCUCACCCAUGCUGCCAUCACUCGACUUAGUGUGCAAAUGAAGCACCUGAAAAGGGGACUUAAAGAAACGGGUAUCUGGCCACUAAUUACAUCCAGACCUGAUGUUGUGCCCCUCCUCUUCCCGAGGGAAAGUGAAGUGGAAAUCACACCCCAGAUGGUCCUGCAGUCAAUCGUUUGGCCGCACCUAAAAAAAAGGUAUGACAGUGACGACAGCGACGAUGACUUGGAGGCGGAAACUGCACUGGUGGCUGGGUUAUUCCGUCAGUUUGUCGAAGAAGCGUCUUCAGACAAACUGCGCGAGCUCCUGAGGUUUUGGGUUGGCUGGGAGGUCCCUUGCCAAGAGCUGAAGCUUGAAGUUGUCCUGUCAACUGGACCUAACCAUAUGCCGACGUCUUCAACCUGUAGUGAGCGAUUACGGCUACCAAGUCACUACACCACCUACCAGGCCCUGUCAGCCGACAUGAAUGUGUGUCUGAAAUCAGUAGAGACAGGCUUUGGUCUUAUUUGAUAAAUAUGUAUUGAUGUUUCAUUUGUUGAAAAAUUGCAGUUCGACAUGGCAAGUCAGUUAAAAUAGAAAGUAAUUUUAU